This 497-nucleotide ribosomal RNA is filed under the name uncultured bacterium. Its description in RNAcentral is "partial 16S ribosomal RNA". It matches the Rfam family "Bacterial small subunit ribosomal RNA", at positions 28 to 507 of the family's 1533-position model. The record is from RNAcentral.
GACGGACGCUGGCGGCGUGCCUAAUACAUGCAAGUUGAGCGCUGAAGGUUGGUACUUGUACCAACUGGAUGAGCAGCGAACGGGUGAGUAACGCGUGGGGAAUCUGCCUUUGAGCGGGGGACAACAUUUGGAAACGAAUGCUAAUACCGCAUAAAAACUUUAAACACAAGUUUUAAGUUUGAAAGAUGCAAUUGCAUCACUCAAAGAUGAUCCCGCGUUGUAUUAGCUAGUUGGUGAGGUAAAGGCUCACCAAGGCGAUGAUACAUAGCCGACCUGAGAGGGUGGACGGCCACAUUGGGACUGAGACACGGCCCAAACUCCUACGGGGAGCAGCAGUAGGGAAUCUUCGGCAAUGGACGAAAGUCUGACCGAGCAAAGCCGCGUGAGGGAAGAAGGUUUUCGGGUCGUAAAACUCUGUUGGUAGAGAAGAACGUUGGUGGGAGUGGAAAGCUCAUCAAGUGACGGUAACUACCCAGAAAGGGACGGCUAACUACGUG